RNAcentral lists this ribosomal RNA (257 nucleotides) under uncultured bacterium. RNAcentral's name for it is "partial 16S ribosomal RNA". It matches the Rfam family "Bacterial small subunit ribosomal RNA", at positions 526 to 779 of the family's 1533-position model. The record is from RNAcentral.
CGUAGGUCCCGAGCGUUGUCCGGAUUUAUUGGGCGUAAAGCGAGCGCAGGCGGUUAGAUAAGUCUGAAGUUAAAGGCUGUGGCUUAACCAUAGUACGCUUUGGAAAACUGUUUAACUUGAGUGCAAGAGGGGAGAGUGGAGUUCCAUGUGUAGCGGUAGAAAUGCGUAGAUAUAUGGAGGAACACCGGUGGACGAAAGCGGCUCUCUGGCUUGUAACUGACGCUGAGGCUCGAAAGCGUGGGGGAGCAAACAGGAUU